UACGGAGGGAGCUAGCGUUGUUCGGAAUUACUGGGCGUAAAGCGCACGUAGGCGGCUUUCUAAGUCAGGGGUGAAAUCCCGGGGCUCAACCCCGGAACUGCCCUUGAAACUGGAUGUCUAGAAUCCUGGAGAGGCGAGUGGAAUUCCGAGUGUAGAGGUGAAAUUCGUAGAUAUUCGGAAGAACACCAGUGGCGAAGGCGACUCGCUGGACAGGUACUGACGCUGAGGUGCGAAAGCGUGGGGAGCAAACAGG
Molecule: ribosomal RNA, 253 nt
Filed under: uncultured bacterium
Lineage: Bacteria
Description: partial 16S ribosomal RNA
Rfam family: Bacterial small subunit ribosomal RNA
Source: RNAcentral